This 950-nucleotide ribosomal RNA is filed under the name Betaproteobacteria bacterium. RNAcentral's name for it is "bacterial SSU rRNA". It matches the Rfam family "Bacterial small subunit ribosomal RNA", at positions 1 to 948 of the family's 1533-position model. Lineage: Bacteria; Pseudomonadati; Pseudomonadota; Betaproteobacteria. The record is from RNAcentral.
AAACUGAAGAGUUUGAUCCUGGCUCAGAUUGAACGCUGGCGGCAUGCCUUACACAUGCAAGUCGAACGCGAAAGCGGGGCAACCCGCAAGUAGAGUGGCGAACGGGUGAGUAAUACAUCGGAACAUUUCCAGUAGCGGGGGAUAACCUGUCGAAAGAUAGGCUAAUACCGCAUACGAUCUACGGAUGAAAGCGGGGGACCGCAAGGCCUCGCACUAUUGGAGUGGCCGAUGUCGGAUUAGCUAGUUGGUGGGGUAAAAGCCUACCAAGGCGACGAUCCGUAGCUGGUCUGAGAGGACGAUCAGCCACACUGGAACUGAGACACGGUCCAGACUCCUACGGGAGGCAGCAGUGGGGAAUUUUGGACAAUGGGCGCAAGCCUGAUCCAGCCAUGCCGCGUGAGUGAAGAAGGCCUUCGGGUUGUAAAGCUCUUUCGGCGGGGACGAAACGGUUCGUGCUAAUACCACGGACUACUGACGGUACCCACAGAAGAAGCACCGGCUAACUACGUGCCAGCAGCCGCGGUAAUACGUAGGGUGCAGGCGUUAAUCGGAAUUACUGGGCGUAAAGCGUGCGCAGGCGGUCUGUUAAGACAGGUGUGAAAUCCCCGAGCUCAACUUGGGAAUUGCGCUUGUUACUGGCAGGCUAGAGUGUGGCAGAGGGGGGUGGAAUUCCACGUGUAGCAGUGAAAUGCGUAGAUAUGUGGAGGAACACCGAUGGCGAAGGCAGCCCCCUGGGUCAACACUGACGCUCAGGCACGAAAGCGUGGGGAGCAAACAGGAUUAGAUACCCUGGUAGUCCACGCCCUAAACUAUGUCAACUAGUUGUCGGGGAAGAAAUUCCUUGGUAACGAAGCUAACGCGUGAAGUUGACCGCCUGGGGAGUACGGUCGCAAGAUUAAAACUCAAAGGAAUUGACGGGGACCCGCACAAGCGGUGGAUUAUGUGGAUUA